RNAcentral lists this transfer RNA (76 nucleotides) under Trichocoleus sp. FACHB-46. RNAcentral describes it as "tRNA-Asp". It matches the Rfam family "tRNA". Rfam says of the family: Transfer RNA (tRNA) molecules are approximately 80 nucleotides in length. Lineage: Bacteria; Bacillati; Cyanobacteriota; Cyanophyceae; Leptolyngbyales; Trichocoleusaceae. The record is from RNAcentral. RNAcentral also lists the same sequence under 1 other name.
GAGGGUGUAGCUUAGCCCGGUUGAAAGCACCAGUCUGUCGAACUGGAUAUCGUGGGUUCAAAUCCCAUCACCCUCG